AGCGUUGUUCUCAUAGAUAUGAAUGAGUAGAUAGGACACGCCCCUUUGAGCUGCGUGCUACAGCGAGGCUAAGCUAGUGGGGGAAAAGUUUCAGUGCAUUCCGUUGAUGUAGACGGCGUGAAAACGGAAACAAGUAUGUCGUCUCACUGUGCUGCAUAUAAUUACACACUACGUCGUACGAUUGAGACAAGGAAACUUGGAAUGACUUUUCAUAGGUUUCCCAGAGACUAUGGGUUGAGGAGGAAUUGGAAGUUUGUCGGCUUAGACCUGGUGUCGUUCCAUCAGUGUUAAACUUCCGGGCUCAUCUUGGAAGAGUAUGUGCCAGAAAGACCACAACCAAGCAGCCUUGAGAUCUUAGGCAGCGUCUCCCUCAGACCAAAGAACUACAGACUCUUCACAACCUGCUCAAACUCUUGGUACAGGACCUCACCACACGGGUCAAGAAGGUUUCCAUCUCAUUUCUACUUUGAAGCUCACCUCCUGCUCAAACUGCUGACAAAUGUUUCUGCUGCUCUAAAGUCUGGUCUCCAGAACUUCCUAAAAACUCUCAAAGUCUCUUCUGCUGCAGGUUGCUUUGUAGAACUGUUGCAGAAAACCUCACUAAACCACAUGGAGGGGCCUCAAGAUAGUCGUCCAAAUGAAACCAUACAAAAACCAAACUAACACAACCCAAACGCUAAAGUCUCCUGCAGUCUACCAGAGAACCUCUGAGAACAGAGAAUCAGGACAGGAACUCUUACCUUCUGGACAACCAACGUUGGUUCACAAACAAGAAUACAGAAUGUGUCUGACCAAAAACCUCUAAAGACUCACUACAGCCAAGAUAAAGACACAACUCAGCUGCAUCAAAUCCACUAAUCACUGCACACAUUAGCACCAUGUGCUAACUGUGGCUAAAGAACCUCAUUUACCAAGACAACUAUCCAGUACAAAGCCCUAAAACACACCAAGAAACACAUUAAAGACGAUUUUACUGCUGGAAGCUGCAAGCCAGUGCCUUAAGAACAAAUUAAAGCAACUGAGCCAAACCCGGAUCUGUGGUGAAGAGAAGCAGAGGAAAUGUUUGUCUGCAGCUAAAUAAAGCAGGAAGACACUGAGCUGCUCAGGUGUUCCUGAUAACACCAAGCAGCCACCUGGACAGCCAAUAGGAACACAGCCACCUGGACAGCCAAUAGGAACACAGCUGGAAGUCCAGAGGGCUGGGUUAGUGAAGGAAAUUUAAAGUUGAAGCAGAAAGUUAACAAAGAAAGUUGAAAACCACCUUCUGAUACCUGAAAUCUCUGAGUUUUCACACAAAGAACACCUGAACAUGUCAAACUGGUUCCAUAGUAGAACCAUCAUUGUAAAAACGUCAUAGUAUGGUGUGUUGCUCAAAAAACAUUAGAACCCGGCUGUCAGGGACAAACAUGUAAGAAACAUGAGAACAGAGAGAAUCCAACCAGUAGGUCACAGUUUAUCAUCCCCCAGUCAUCUCCUGAAGUCCAUAUGGUGAGAGACAUCAGUAUCUGGUUGUUAAUUUACCAGAGGAUGCUUAUAAUCAUGCUGAUGUGGUCUGUACUCUACAGUAUUUUAGUGACUCAAUAAAUGCCUAAGUUUUUUUUUUUUUAAAUGCUUUUUAGUUUUUCAUAAACAUUUAACAGCCUAUAUGUAAUCAAUAAAUGGUCUUUGCCUAUCUUAAGAAAAACUCACUCAGAACUCUAUGUUAACAGUAC
Long non-coding RNA from Amphiprion ocellaris (clown anemonefish), 1712 nucleotides. Lineage: Eukaryota; Metazoa; Chordata; Actinopteri; Pomacentridae. The record is from Ensembl.